UGACCUUCUAGCGAUACAAGCAUUUCAAUAUUUGGUUUGUUCCUGUGAGAUAGUUGGAUGAAAAUUUGCAGAAUCUCUCCACUGUUAAUGAAACAAGACUCAAAACACUAGAGAAAUGGACAGAAGAAAUGCUGCUUACAUCCUGGUCUUGCCCUGGUCCAAAUAAUGUCAACAUCAUCACAGAUUAAUCUUAUAGGUAUAGAUCAAUGUGAAAUCAAGUAAGUGGACACUUCUCAAGUGUAUCAAAGUUUACCUGUAAAGUUUAGAACAACGAGUCUAUAUUAACAAAUAUUCUGCAUUCUCAAG
RNAcentral lists this long non-coding RNA (306 nucleotides) under Numida meleagris (helmeted guineafowl). Its description in RNAcentral is "lncRNA (ENSNMEG00000009596.1)". The record is from RNAcentral. Lineage: Eukaryota; Metazoa; Chordata; Aves; Galliformes; Numididae.